GGCCUCCAUCUUGAAAACGGAAAAUAAAAACAGCAGACCUAUGAAGGUCAAAGGGGAAGUUAAGAAAAGCUGUAUCGAUUGUUGAGAUCUGGCGACUUGCUUAAAUUUCAUCAGCCUCACUUCUAUGGACUCUCAGAGCUGAUUACCAACUCCUACCACUGUUAACCCUCAUCCAGGAACAAGCUUAUGUCUUUAACAUUCUGAGUGGGCUUCAGCAUCCUUGCAUAUGUUCAAUUCUUAAAAACCUGUUGAAAUAAAAGAUCAGGAGACAUAGGAGGGAUGCCAGAAGACAGCGUGGCCUCACGUGUACCAGCUCUCUGCUCUCCUUUGCCUUGGGACGUUCCAUCCCUGGAAGUUUCCCUGCCCACAUCUUUGUAGAGAGUCCAUUCUCCAAGCUUCAGUGUGUCAUCUGUUAGGACUAUGACCCACCUGGUACAUUACCUCAGGGCAUUCAUUUCAGGCUCCUUCUAAGUGGUCAAGUUUUCAAGAUUGUUUUGGCUCUAGCAAAACAAGUUGGAACAUUCACAUCAUCCACUGCACUGAUGAGGAAACUGAAACAGAAAAUCCAGAGUAAAUUCCACCAGGCCACACAGCAAGGUCUGAUAGAGCCAGGAGAGACUUUAUGAAAUCCAGACUCUCACACUAAUGCUCUAUCAGCUAGACCUCCAUGUGAGUCUCCCCAAUGUAGGUAGGAAGCACUUUCCC
Molecule: long non-coding RNA, 705 nt
Filed under: Pongo abelii (Sumatran orangutan)
Lineage: Eukaryota; Metazoa; Chordata; Mammalia; Primates; Hominidae
Description: lincRNA
Source: RNAcentral